Molecule: long non-coding RNA, 1078 nt
Organism: Topomyia yanbarensis
Lineage: Eukaryota; Metazoa; Arthropoda; Insecta; Diptera; Culicidae
Exons: 3
Source: RefSeq, a predicted model, not a curated record
CGUUGUUAUUGGUGCAACCCCUGCAGUGAAAAAAAUAUGUGAGAACAAAACAAGCCCGGCAAAAAUGCACUACGAUAAUAUUCUGUUGUUUUCUCAUCAAUGGUUGUGCUGCGGCAUUAUUUACACUUAAUCAUAAGGCAACUCUAGGGCGGACCCCCGUACAGAUUUGCAGUGUGAUGUUUGCAGACAGGGACAGGAGAAAUGUCCACAUCACAACCGCAAUGCGUUGGGUGACAAGCCGUGGAAAGAGCUAAUUGAUCGAUCGCGGUGGAUAAAUUUGUCACUCACAUUUUGGAAUUGGAACUCACAGACAGCUCCUGAUGCGUAGUAUUCUCAACAUUAAAAACAAUCUGAGGGAUGCUCCGUGUCGGUUGUUGAUCAUAAUCGUAAGAGCUUCAUAAACAGCGAAUUGGAGGAGCCUGGUGUAUGAUUUUUUUUAGAUAGAAAAGUGCUCAUGAAGUUUCAUCUUAUAGCUUUCUGUGGAAUCAACCGUGCUUUCGUGCGUCUCCGCUGGACUCACGACAAAUUGUACCGCAUCGAUGUACGUAAGCUGCAACAAAGUCUUUGUGGAUGUUUGUCCCCUCAAAUAUGUGGGCAAUUGGACGGGCGAUGUGAACUGUGUGGUCACUAAUUCCGUUUACUGUGUAAGAUGUCGUAUUUUACCGGAAUCAGCAUAGUAAUCGAUGGAGCAACGAUAACGGCUGGCACAGCAUGGAACGCAACAAUUUCUUCCAAUAUUCGAAGUUUUCUCCCUAUGCUUUUUACUAUUCAUGUCGAAGUCACGUUAUCCUGUAACGCAGUACGACAAACGAAACAAGUCGUCGGAUUCAUUAUCACCAGAGAAAGCCGCCUUCGAAACAACCCGAUGCGUUUACCUCACCAAAACAAACAGUAAAAACUAGACUGGAAAUCUGAUUACGCAAAGCUAGCUGCUAAUUGCAUUCAUAAAUUAAAAUUCUGCUCCACAUGUAUAUCGGCCAAACAAUAACCCGAUCGAUCACCUAGUAAUUUCAUAGAAAUUUAAACUUCAGCGCUUCGUUGUAUGAACUUGUUAUUACCUAAACAUUUUUCGGAUGAA